GACCCUCAACAAAACAACAACCAAACUACAGCAACAAAACCCCACCGGUCAAGUAGGUCAUUGGUGUCUGCUGGUCUCAAGCUCUUGUUCCAGCCUGUCCCAGCCUCCAGCAGGUACAACUCUCUAGGAGAGCCACAGCUGGCCAGGACCAGACAGGACCACUCUGUGUGGUAGUCCUAAGUUAGAGGACAUUCGGGGAACUUGUUUCCAUGGUUUUGUUCCCUUCUCGUUAUGAAAGGGCUUUUGCUUUGCCCGGCCUUUGUUUGGGGAGUUCAACUAAUAAAGGGGCCAUUUUGCUGGAAUGAAUUACUGAUGAAAGUCCUGCUGGGAUCGGCAGGAGGACGGCCCUCUGGCUUCACUUCAGCAAGGCCGUCAAGACUGUGAAGUCUGCUGUGGGAUUCGAAGAGGUACAGUACCAUCCAAUGCUCCAGGAAGCUCCAUUCACUUGCUUUAAGUUAAAACAGUAGAGAAGUCAAUAUUUUAGCAAACCUAAGAUUAUGAGUUUGGCCCCUUUUGUGUCUUCAACGAUCCAAGGUUAAGCAAUAUUGCACCAGUUAAGCAAAAAAUAAAUCAUGACACCUCAAGAAAG
RNAcentral lists this long non-coding RNA (589 nucleotides) under Mus pahari (shrew mouse). RNAcentral describes it as "leucine rich repeat containing 8D, opposite strand (MGP_PahariEiJ_G0002500.1)". Lineage: Eukaryota; Metazoa; Chordata; Mammalia; Rodentia; Muridae. The record is from RNAcentral.